UUGGAAGUUUGUAUGAAAGUCCUAUGUUUUUGAAGUAAGAGACUUGAAAUUUAAAAUGUAUGCUCUAUAGAUGGUGAGAAGGUGUUCUAAUAAUGUAUCUUUAGAAAUCAACUCCCUUUUGGGGUUAAAACGGGGGAUGGUAGGUUGACUUACUCAUCACGAAAUCUCCGAAACUAUAACAGCUACAAAUUUGAAAAUUGGCAAGUAGGUUCCUUAUAGGGCG
RNAcentral lists this unclassified non-coding RNA (223 nucleotides) under Melitaea cinxia (Glanville fritillary). RNAcentral's name for it is "misc RNA ENSMCXG00005018494.1". The record is from RNAcentral. Lineage: Eukaryota; Metazoa; Arthropoda; Insecta; Lepidoptera; Nymphalidae.